This 899-nucleotide ribosomal RNA is filed under the name uncultured bacterium. Its description in RNAcentral is "bacterial SSU rRNA". It matches the Rfam family "Bacterial small subunit ribosomal RNA", at positions 22 to 901 of the family's 1533-position model. The record is from RNAcentral.
GCUCAGAACGAACGCUGGCGGCGUGCCUAACACAUGCAAGUCGAACGUGAAAGGGCUUCGGCCUGAGUAAAGUGGCAAACGGGUGAGUAACGCGUGGGUGAUCUGCCUCUGAGUGGGGGAUAACGUUCCGAAAGGGACGCUAAUACCGCAUGACAUCCUGUUCUUGGAUGAAUGGUGAUCGAAGCUGGGGACCGCAAGGCCUGGCGCUUGGAGAGGAGCCCGCGUCCGAUUAGCUAGUUGGUGGGGUAACGGCCUACCAAGGCGACGAUCGGUAGCCGGCCUGAGAGGGCGGACGGCCACACUGGGACUGAGACACGGCCCAGACUCCUACGGGAGGCAGCAGUGGGGAAUUGUUCGCAAUGGGCGCAAGCCUGACGACGCAACGCCGCGUGGGGGAUGAAGGUCUUCGGAUUGUAAACCCCUGUUGGGUGGGACGAACAUCUUUCUGGUGAACAGCCAGGGAGACUGACGGUACCACCUGAGGAAGCCCCGGCUAACUCUGUGCCAGCAGCCGCGGUAAUACAGAGGGGGCAAGCGUUGUUCGGAAUUACUGGGCGUAAAGGGCGCGUAGGCGGCCUGUUAAGUCAGACGUGAAAUCCCUCGGCUCAACCGGGGAACUGCGUCUGAUACUGGCGGGCUUGAAUUCGGGAGAGGGAUGUGGAAUUCCAGGUGUAGCGGUGAAAUGCGUAGAUAUCUGGAGGAACACCGGUGGCGAAGGCGGCAUCCUGGACCGACAUUGACGCUGAGGCGCGAAAGCCAGGGGAGCAAACGGGAUUAGAUACCCCGGUAGUCCUGGCCCUAAACGAUGAGUGCUUGGUGUGGCGGGUAUCGAUCCCUGCCGUGCCGAAGCUAACGCAUUAAGCACUCCGCCUGGGGAGUACGGUCGCAAGGCUGAAACU